GACGAACGCUGGCGGCGUGCUUAACACAUGCAAGUCGAACGGAAAGGCCCUUCGGGGUACUCGAGUGGCGAACGGGUGAGUAACACGUGGGUGAUCUGCCCUGCACUUUGGGAUAAGCCUGGGAAACUGGGUCUAAUACCGAAUAGGACCACGUGCUUCAUGGUGUGUGGUGGAAAGCUUUUGCGGUGUGGGAUGGGCCCGCGGCCUAUCAGCUUGUUGGUGGGGUAAUGGCCUACCAAGGCGACGACGGGUAGCCGGCCUGAGAGGGUGACCGGCCACACUGGGACUGAGAUACGGCCCAGACUCCUACGGGAGGCAGCAGUGGGGAAUAUUGCACAAUGGGCGCAAGCCUGAUGCAGCGACGCCGCGUGAGGGAUGACGGCCUUCGGGUUGUAAACCUCUUUCAAUAGGGACGAAGCGCAAGUGACGGUACCUAUAGAAGAAGCACCGGCCAACUACGUGCCAGCAGCCGCGGUAAUACGUAGGGUGCGAGCGUUGUCCGGAAUUACUGGGCGUAAAGAGCUCGUAGGUGGUUUGUCGCGUUGUUCGUGAAAACUCACAGCUUAACUGUGGGCGUGCGGGCGAUACGGGCAGACUAGAGUACUGCAGGGGAGACUGGAAUUCCUGGUGUAGCGGUGGAAUGCGCAGAUAUCAGGAGGAACACCGGUGGCGAAGGCGGGUCUCUGGGCAGUAACUGACGCUGAGGAGCGAAAGCGUGGGGAGCGAACAGGAUUAGAUACCCUGGUAGUCCACGCCGUAAACGGUGGGUACUAGGUGUGGGUUCCUUCCUUGGGAUCCGUGCCGUAGCUAACGCAUUAAGUACCCCGCCUGGGGAGUACGGCCGCAAGGCUAAAACUCAAAGGAAUUGACGGGGGCCCGCACAAGCGGCGGAGCAUGUGGAUUAAUUCGAUGCAACGCGAAGAACCUUACCUGGGUUUGACAUGCACAGGACGCCGGCAGAGAUGUCGGUUCCCUUGUGGCCUGUGUGCAGGUGGUGCAUGGCUGUCGUCAGCUCGUGUCGUGAGAUGUUGGGUUAAGUCCCGCAACGAGCGCAACCCUUGUCCUAUGUUGCCAGCGGGUUAUGCCGGGGACUCGUAGGAGACUGCCGGGGUCAACUCGGAGGAAGGUGGGGAUGACGUCAAGUCAUCAUGCCCCUUAUGUCCAGGGCUUCACACAUGCUACAAUGGCCGGUACAAAGGGCUGCGAUGCCGUGAGGUGGAGCGAAUCCUUUCAAAGCCGGUCUCAGUUCGGAUCGGGGUCUGCAACUCGACCCCGUGAAGUCGGAGUCGCUAGUAAUCGCAGAUCAGCAACGCUGCGGUGAAUACGUUCCCGGGCCU
RNAcentral lists this ribosomal RNA (1337 nucleotides) under uncultured bacterium. Its description in RNAcentral is "bacterial SSU rRNA". It matches the Rfam family "Bacterial small subunit ribosomal RNA", at positions 28 to 1381 of the family's 1533-position model. The record is from RNAcentral.